CUCUCUCUCUCUCCAAGUGUUGACAAAACAAACUCGCUCUUUGAAUCGCUCUGAAAACUCAGAACGAAACUCAAAAUCUCCAUCUCUUUCAUUUUCCUCAUGGCUUCCACCGAAGAAAACCUACGCAAAACCCUAGCCGACAAACUCUCCGCCGUCGAAAUCCAAGGUAACAUCGUCCGUUCACUCAAGGCUUUAUCGGCACCUAAAACUAACAUCGAAGCCGCCGCUCAAGCCCUAAACGCCUCAAACUUGAGUAAUCAUCGAUAGAGAAAUCAUCCAUAGCUUCAGUCGUUACUCUCUGGCUCCGAUUCUCGUGAAGGCUUCCAUCAAUUUGUUGUUAAUACGCUGGAAACGAUGGUUGUUUUUAUAUUCUAUCGUUUAAGAUUUAUUGCAGUGUUGCUGGUCUAUAUGAUUAUGGUCCUCUAGGUUGUGCCGUUAAAUCCAAUGUCUUAUCCUUUUGUGAUCAGAUGAAUUGUUAAUGGUUACAAAACAGAAACUAACUAAUUGGAGAUUUAUCAAAUUAAUUUCUAUGCAGCGAAGAAUGAAAUGUGAUUAGGAGCUGAAUUUUGUUAGAUUAGGAGUUGGUUUUGGUAGUUUAGGAGUUGUUUGGAUUGAAUUAUUUGAGCUUAUUUUCUGUCAUAAUCAGUUAGAGGGGGAGAAUGUUUGAAAAAACCUAUAGUAGAAUCAGUUUAGGAUAUGUUUGGGUUGAUUUAUUUUUAGCUUAUCUAGUGGCAUAAGCACUUGUUAACGGUUAGGGGUAACUUAGGAAAACAACUUAGACAUGUUCAUAAUUUGUUUUCAUUUUAUUUUUCGUAAGCUUAUGAAAAUAGGAUACAGUUUAUAUGAAAAUAAUUUUACUCUGAGAUUUUUUUUAUAGAAAUAGCUUAUAUGGAAGUAGUUAUGCUUUCAGUGGUUUAUUGAUUUGUUUAUCCAAAUGAGCCUUACCGGUAUGUCCAUUCGCUGUUUUAGAAUACUUUCUUAAGCUUUAUAGAUAUAUUUAUGGAUAUAGCUUAUAGCUCAGAUGAAAACAAUUUUAUUUUAUUCUAUCUUUUGUUAAAAUCAGCUAGAGCAGUCGCAACUGCGACGCAGAAAAAGAGUUUUGUGCUUCCAGUCUCGUUUCAGCCGCAAAGACGAAUGAUCUAGUGGGAGUGGUUAUGGGACUGUUAGGGGAUUGGAGUUGAUGUGGCUCUCUUCUCUUCAUCUCUUUGGAGAGCUUUUGCAUUCUUAUUUGAUUUCUGUUCUCAUUGUACGCCAUCUAACAUGCUAACACACAUUUGUGGCAUAAGAUUUUUACAUGAUUAGCCUUGUGUGCAGGAUCUUCGAUUAAUGAGGAUCUAGGAUGAUUGCAUUGUGGAUAAAAUGCAUAAUGAGUAGGUCUCUCAAGUUAGUUUAACUUUGGACCUUCUUAGUCAUGUCUUGUUUUCUAAUUGAGUUUUAGUCAGUAGUCUACACUUUUUCAGAUUGGAGAAUCCAGAUGACCAUACCAAGCAGAAAUUGAAAUCAAAACUUGACGAGUUGAAGCUCGAAAGAGAGAUGGUGCGAUUAAGUAAUCAAGAAAUGCUAAGAAAAUUACACCUAAAGUUUCAUGAGCCAUGGGGCCAGCGUAUGAAGACUGGUUAUCAGAACUCUCGCUUUGUUCAUUAGGUAAAAUUAAAUAUUGGUGCAUCUUCACAUUUGUAACUAUAUCUUUUAAAUCAUAAUGUCUAUUAGGUUGUGGUACUAAUGUUUUCAAAUAACAUACCAACUAAUGCUAAGUCAUGCCUCAAUUUACUAACAUGUAGUAGUUAUGCAGGUUAAGUAUAACAUUAUAAAACUGAUCUCACGAAAGGUAAUUUGGUUAAUGUGCAUGAUGUAGGUCGAUAGAUUUGCCUGCCUUUA
Molecule: long non-coding RNA, 1878 nt
Organism: Vicia villosa (hairy vetch)
Lineage: Eukaryota; Viridiplantae; Streptophyta; Magnoliopsida; Fabales; Fabaceae
Exons: 3
Source: RefSeq, a predicted model, not a curated record